Molecule: ribosomal RNA, 492 nt
Filed under: uncultured bacterium
Lineage: Bacteria
Description: partial 16S ribosomal RNA
Rfam family: Bacterial small subunit ribosomal RNA
Source: RNAcentral
AGUGAACGCUGGCGGUAGGCCUAACACAUGCAAGUCGAACGGCAGCACAGUAAGAGCUUGCUCGUACGGGUGGCGAGUGGCGGACGGGUGAGGAAUACAUCGGAAUCUACUUUGUCGUGGGGGACAACGUAGGGAAACUUACGCUAAUACCGCAUACGACCUACGGGAGAAAGAAGGGGAUCUUCGGACCUUGCGCGAUCGAAUGGGCCGAUGUCGGAUUAGCGAGUUGGCGGGGUAACGGCCCACCGAGGCGACGAGCCGGAGCUGGUCUGAGAGGGUGGUCCGCCACACUGGAACUGAGACACGGUCCACACUCCUACGGGAGGCCGCAGUGGGGAAUAUUGGGCAAUGCGGGCAAGCCUGAUCCAGCCCUACCGCGUGAGUGAUGAUGGCCUUCGGGUUGUUAAGCCCUUUUGUUGGGAGAGAAGAGCAGCACGUUCAGCCCCCGCUGUUGUGACGGUACCCAAAGAAUAAGCCCCGGCUAACUUCGUG